GAGUUUGAUCAUGGCUCAGGAUGAACGCUGGCGGCGUGCUUAACACAUGCAAGUCGAACGAACCUUCGGGUUAGUGGCGGACGGGCGAGUAACGCGUGAGAAUCUGCCCUCAGGAGGGGGAUAACAGCUGGAAACGGCUGCUAAUACCCCAUAUGCCGCGAGGUGAAAUGAAUUUCGCCUGAGGAUGAGCUCGCGUCUGAUUAGCUAGUUGGUGUAGGUAAUGGCUCACCAAGGCAUCGAUCAGUAGCUGGUCUGAGAGGAUGAUCAGCCACACUGGGACUGAGACACGGCCCAGACUCCUACGGGAGGCAGCAGUGGGGAAUUUUCCGCAAUGGGCGAAAGCCUGACGGAGCAACGCCGCGUGAGGGAUGAAGGCCUCUGGGCUGUAAACCUCUUUUAUCAAGGAAGAAGAUCUGACGGUACUUGAUGAAUAAGCCACGGCUAAUUCCGUGCCAGCAGCCGCGGUAAUACGGGAGUGGCAAGCGUUAUCCGGAAUUAUUGGGCGUAAAGCGUCCGCAGGCGGCCCUUCAAGUCUGCUGUUAAAAAGUGGAGCUUAACUCCAUCAUGGCAAUGGAAACUGAGGGGCUUGAGUGUGGUAGGGGCAGAGGGAAUUCCCGGUGUAGCGGUGAAAUGCGUAGAUAUCGGGAAGAACACCAGUGGCGAAGGCGCUCUGCUGGGCCAUCACUGACGCUCAUGGACGAAAGCCAGGGGAGCGAAAGGGAUUAGAUACCCCUGUAGUCCUGGCCGUAAACGAUGAACACUAGGUGUCGGGGGAAUCGACCCCCUCGGUGUCGUAGCCAACGCGUUAAGUGUUCCGCCUGGGGAGUACGCACGCAAGUGUGAAACUCAAAGGAAUUGACGGGGGCCCGCACAAGCGGUGGAGUAUGUGGUUUAAUUCGAUGCAACGCGAAGAACCUUACCAGGGUUUGACAUCCUGCGAAUCUCUUGGAAACGAGAGAGUGCCUUCGGGAGCGCAGUGACAGGUGGUGCAUGGCUGUCGUCAGCUCGUGUCGUGAGAUGUUGGGUUAAGUCCCGCAACGAGCGCAACCCACGUCUUUAGUUGCCAGCAUUUAGUUGGGCACUCUAGAGAGACCGCCGGUGAUAAACCGGAGGAAGGUGUGGAUGACGUCAAGUCAUCAUGCCCCUUACAUCCUGGGCUACACACGUACUACAAUGCUACGGACAAAGGGCAGCAAGUUCGCGAGGACAAGCAAAUCCCAUAAACCGUGGCUCAGUUCAGAUCGUAGGCUGCAACUCGCCUACGUGAAGGAGGAAUCGCUAGUAAUCGCAGGUCAGCAUACUGCGGUGAAUACGUUCCCGGGCCUUGUACACACCGCCCGUCACACCAUGGAAGUUGGCCACGCCCGAAGCCGUUACUCCAACCCUUGUGGAGGAGGACGUCGAAGGUGGGGCUGAUGACUGGGGUGAAGUCGUAACAAGGUAACC
RNAcentral lists this ribosomal RNA (1446 nucleotides) under uncultured marine cyanobacterium. RNAcentral's name for it is "bacterial SSU rRNA". It matches the Rfam family "Bacterial small subunit ribosomal RNA". The record is from RNAcentral. Lineage: Bacteria; Bacillati; Cyanobacteriota.